Molecule: ribosomal RNA, 1481 nt
Filed under: uncultured bacterium
Lineage: Bacteria
Description: 16S ribosomal RNA
Rfam family: Bacterial small subunit ribosomal RNA
Source: RNAcentral
CAUGGCUCAGGAUGAACGCUAGCGGCAGGCUUAACACAUGCAAGUCGAGGGGCAGCGGGGAGGAAGCUUGCUUUCUCCGCCGGCGACCGGCGCACGGGUGAGUAACACGUAUGCAACCUGCCCCUGUCAGGGGGACAACCCGCCGAAAGGCGGGCUAAACCCGCGUACAUGCCACCGGGGCAUCCCGGAGGCAGGAAAGGCUUCGGCCGGACAGGGAUGGGCAUGCGGCGCAUUAGGCAGUAGGCGGGGUAACGGCCCACCUAACCGACGAUGCGUAGGGGUUCUGAGAGGAAGGUCCCCCACACUGGUACUGAGACACGGACCAGACUCCUACGGGAGGCAGCAGUGAGGAAUAUUGGUCAAUGGUCGGGAGACUGAACCAGCCAAGCCGCGUGAGGGAUGAAGGUACAGAGUAUCGUAAACCUCUUUUGUCAGGGAACAAAGGCGGGGACGUGUCCCCGGAUGAGUGUACCUGAAGAAAAAGCAUCGGCUAACUCCGUGCCAGCAGCCGCGGUAAUACGGAGGAUGCGAGCGUUAUCCGGAUUUAUUGGGUUUAAAGGGUGCGCAGGCGGUCUGUUAAGUCAGCGGUCAAAGCCCGGGGCUCAACCCCGGCCCGCCGUUGAAACUGGCAGUCUCGAGUUGGAGAGAAGUAUGCGGAAUGCGCGGUGUAGCGGUGAAAUGCAUAGAUAUCGCGCAGAACUCCGAUUGCGAAGGCAGCAUGCCGGCUCCACACUGACGCUGAGGCACGAAAGCGUGGGUAUCGAACAGGAUUAGAUACCCUGGUAGUCCACGCAGUAAACGAUGAAUGCUGGCUGUCCGGGGGGGAUUGACCCCUGGGUGGCGAAGCGAAAGCGAUAAGCAUUCCACCUGGGGAGUACGCCGGCAACGGUGAAACUCAAAGGAAUUGACGGGGGCCCGCACAAGCGGAGGAACAUGUGGUUUAAUUCGAUGAUACGCGAGGAACCUUACCCGGGCUCAAACGGGGAGUGACUCAGGCAGAGACGCCUGUUUCCCACGGGACACUCCCCGAGGUGCUGCAUGGUUGUCGUCAGCUCGUGCCGUGAGGUGUCGGCUUAAGUGCCAUAACGAGCGCAACCCCCGCGUGCAGUGCUAACAGAUAACGCUGAGGACUCUGCACGGACUGCCGGCGCAAGCCGCGAGGAAGGCGGGGAUGACGUCAAAUCAGCACGGCCCUUACGUCCGGGGCGACACACGUGUUACAAUGGGUGGUACAGCGGGAAGCCAGGCGGCGACGCCGAGCGGAACCCGAAAUCCACUCUCAGUUCGGAUCGGAGUCUGCAACCCGACUCCGUGAAGCUGGAUUCGCUAGUAAUCGCGCAUCAGCCAUGGCGCGGUGAAUACGUUCCCGGGCCUUGUACACACCGCCCGUCAAGCCAUGGGAGCCGAGGGCGCUUGAAGUGCGUCGCCGCGAGGCGCGCCCUAGAGCGAAAUCGGUGACUGGGGCUAAGUCGUAACAAGGU